GGGGCUGUGGCUCAGUGGACGAGCAUCCGUUUCGCAUGCGGAAGGUCCCAGGUUCAAUCCCCGGCAUCUCCA
Gekko japonicus is the source of this 72-nucleotide non-coding RNA. NCBI's taxonomy places the organism in Eukaryota, Metazoa, Chordata, Lepidosauria, Squamata, Gekkonidae. The record is from the annotation of a RefSeq genome assembly.